Molecule: ribosomal RNA, 322 nt
Filed under: Oscillospira guilliermondii
Lineage: Bacteria; Bacillati; Bacillota; Clostridia; Eubacteriales; Oscillospiraceae
Description: bacterial SSU rRNA
Rfam family: Bacterial small subunit ribosomal RNA
Source: RNAcentral
CUGGCGGCGUGCUUAACACAUGCAAGUCGAACGGAGUGCCAAUGAAGGAGUUUUUCGGACAACGGAUUUGGCUACUUAGUGGCGGACUGGUGAGUAACGCGUGAGGAACCUGCCUUUCAGUGGGGGACAACGGUUGGAAACGACUGCUAAUACCGCAUAACGUAUUGUGGGGACAUCCCCACGGUACCAAAGAUUUAUCGCUGAGAGAUGGCCUCGCGUCUGAUUAGCUAGUUGGUGGGGUAACGGCUCACCAAGGCGACGAUCAGUAGCCGGACUGAGAGGUUGGCCGGCCACAUUGGGACUGAGAUACGGCCCAGACUCC